Molecule: long non-coding RNA, 410 nt
Filed under: Zea mays
Lineage: Eukaryota; Viridiplantae; Streptophyta; Magnoliopsida; Poales; Poaceae
Description: long non-coding RNA NONZMAT003777
Source: RNAcentral
GUGCGGUCAGACCUCCCUCCAACAGAAUCGCCUACAUCCUCGGGUCAACCGACGCACGAUGCGAAAUCCUCGGCCAUGACUGCCCUGAUCCAGUGGCCUCGUCGUGCAUAUAAAAAUCGGUCGCGCCGCAUUCCCUAUGACCGAUUCAAUCGCGUUGACGACUGGAGCCUAACCAUUAUCGCAAGGAAGGAGGGAGCAGGGGGGUGAUUGGGUGGCCACCAUGGAGAGUCACCGCCACCAUCAUCGCGCUCCCUGCGGAUUGCCUUGGAUGUCAGUCAUGGUCUGUGGCACCUGGGCAAAGGAUGUUCACGCGCUACGAACCUUGAUCCCCCUGGUAAUUUCUCAUCGGGGGCGCCACUACCUUGAGCCCGCGCCGCAUCGCAAUUCGCGCGUCCGUCGCCCCAACUCCA